RNAcentral lists this long non-coding RNA (1519 nucleotides) under Homo sapiens (human). RNAcentral describes it as "HSALNT0071507". The record is from RNAcentral. Lineage: Eukaryota; Metazoa; Chordata; Mammalia; Primates; Hominidae.
AUGCCCAGCUAAUUUUUAUAUUUUUAAUAGAGACGGGGUUUCACCAUGUUGGCCAGGAUGGUCUCAAUCUCUUGACCUCGUAAUCCGCCCGCCUCGGCCUCCCAAAGUGCUGGGAUUACAGGCGUGAGCCACCGUGCCCAGCCUGGCAAGCAGGUUGUAUUUACUUAGAUGACAUAUUUCAUCCUAAGCUCUGUUUCUGACCUAAUGGGUCUGAGAAAAAAAAAAAAAAAGCAAGUAGAUGAAAUGUUCAUUUGUAGUGGCUUGCAGGGUAGGACAUGAUUAGCUGAAGAAAGCGAUACAUCCAGCCAGGCGUGAGCCACCACGCCUGGCCAGUGCAAUAUUUUUAAAAGUCAAAAUAGGUGCAGCAAAACCCCAUAAUGAACAAAAUAUUGAAAUGUUAAAUAAAAAUUAGAUCAGUGCUACUAAUUUUUUCUUUUGCCUCAGGCUCCAAUAUGGUUAGGCACAGCACUACUUGGCACUGCCACUGAGCAAAGAGUAUGGGCAGACAGAACUGCUUUCAGAACACUCUUUGUAUUUUUUUUGAAAUAUGUUUGGACAGGAAUGAUGGAGGGAAUUGCUAGAAGUCACCUCCACAGCUUCCAGGAUUUAGAUGGCUGAGCAUUGACCUUUCUAGACUUUUUUUUUUAAUUUCCCCAAUACAGAAUCAGAACAAGAAACAGAAACACAAACGCUAUCUUCAAUAAAACUAGGAAACAUUUAUCCCCGCAAACUCACAGCACUUGAAAACAAAAAGCAGAUGGAGGAAUGGUGACUAAAUUAGCAGAGCAGAGGAAGGCCAAGCUUUGUUGGAGAAGACCCACAAAAAGCAAGACAACUCAAGGACUGAAGCCUGGUACUUUGGAAGGCAGUAAUAGGAACAGGACACUGAAGACAGUGAGGGGUGUCUGAAGACUGAAAAGCAGCCCUAGAAGCCUUCCCUCACUCCCAUCAGUCAGGCAGCCACCCCUUCCCCACUCCCACAAGUACUUUUUCUGGGGAGAAACAAUCUGAGAAGCUUAGGGAGCAGCAGGAAGGAAGAGAGAUCGGGUGAGAAUUCCGUGAAAGUCUACAGGCCGGGUAUGGUGGCUCACGGCUGUAAUCCCAGCAGUUUGGGAGGCCAAGGCAGGCAGAUCACUUGAGGUCAGGAGCUCGAGACCAGCCAGGGCAACAUAGUAAAACCUUGUCUCUACUAAAAAUACAAAAAAUUUAGCAGGCAUGGUGGCCGGUGCCUGUAAUCUCAGCUACUCAGGAGGCUAAGACAGGAGAAUUGCUUGAACCCAGGAGGCAAGAGGUUGCAGUCAGCUGAGAUCAUGCCACUGUACUGCAGCCUGGGCAACAGAGUGAGACUCCAUCUCAAAAAAAAAAAAAAAAAGUCUACAGAGUUUCCAGAGUACUUGCUUUGUUUUCUUUUUCUUUUUUUUUUUUUUUAACAAAAAAAGGGCAUCCAGGCAUAGAGGCCAAGGUGGGCGGAUCACAAGGUCAGGAGUUCAACACAAGCCUGACCAACAUGGUAAAACCU